GGGGCUCCCACCGCAUGCCCGGUGGCGUCCUAAGUGCUUUGCGUGUGUGUGUGUUGGCUGAUUUAGUGACCAGGUGGGCCACAAAGGAGCUGACUGCAGAGCAGGGACAGGAAGCCAACGAGCAGAGAGCGCGCAUCGGUGCCCGGAUCUCGGCCGGCAACCAGCGGAGACUGGAGUUGGCCCCACGCUUCCCCAGCCUGCUUGUCCGCCUCCCAUCAAAGGUGGCAGGCUUUGUGAAGGGACUCCGGUGUAGAAGACGCCUUCUUUUGCGUUGGCGAAGUCUGUCCCUUUCUCCGGGAGGGGGGGAGGGGGAUGGGGGGUGGGCAGAGCCUGGCCUUCCAGCCCCGCCCCCUCGUCCUCUCCCCACCCCCCACCCAGGCCCCUGAGGCCGCCCGCACAUGCGCAGUGCUGUGUGCCGACCCCAGGGAGAAGCCAAGGCCACCGAGGGGCCGAGUAAGCGGCCCAGGGUGUCAGCCAGGCGGCUCGAGAUCGGCCCGUGGCCGCUCGGGCCCGCACACCUUUCCCUACACCCGUCCCGGCUCCGCACUCACUUGUAGCCCACGUCACACCAGUUCAGCGUCCUCGAAUGGGCUGCAACAGGAUGCGGUGGGGGCCCGGGUCUCAUCUCUCUUCCUCCCGGAGGGACUGAGGUACAAAAGCCAUGCAUCAGAGCAUCAUCCUUGACCAAACUCUACCGUGUCCCCUCUUGUGUUGAGUACCCCAGCCCAUAGCAGGCGCCGAAUAUAUACUGAAUGACUGGUAAGUAUCCAGCUCACUCCCUGGUCAUGUUGGUGUUAUCGCCCAAAUAUCUUAUGAAUCAGACCACCCUGGUUUAUUUCCACUCUCCCCACCUGGGUCCAGUCACCGUCUCCUUGCACCUGGAUUUUCUCCCACCCCCUCGGUGACUUUCCAGCAUGCACCUUGGCCCCCAUGAGGCCGAGGCUCAGAUCUGAUCAAGCGACCCUCAAACAUGAGUCACCGUUUUCUGUGGCUUCUCACGACUCUUAGGAUGGACCCCAAGCACUUUGCCAAGGCCUGCCUUCAACCUAGUCUCACCCAACUCACUCCUGAGGCCCUCUUCCCCUAGCUUCCCUGCCCUUCUUGCCGCCCUUGAGGAUGCUUUGACUACCCUGUCCCCAGGGGACUUUCUCCGCACUGUGUGCAAGCUUUAUUUAUUUAUUUAUUUAUUUAUUUAUUUAUUUAUUUACAUUUUUAGAGAGAGAGAGUCUGAGAGCAGGGGAGAGGGGGAGAGGGGGAGAGAGAGAAUCUUAAGCAGGCUCCACACUCAGCACGGAACCUGACGUGGGGCUCGAUCCCAUGACCCUGGGAUUGUGACCAGAGCCAAAAUCAAGAGGCGGACACUCAACCAACUGAGUCACCCAGGAGCCCCUGUACAAGUCCUAAAUGGGGAACCUUAAGAAAUUCAGGAACUUUGUACCUUACCUUUAAGAUUACAAAACAUGAGGGCGCCUUUUGUAAAAAGGCAGGAAUAUGUACACAUCGGAUUGCUUACUAAGCAUAUAGUCUUCAGCCAGGUAGUGUGAAGUAUUCCUGUGUUAGAAUUUUAUUUAUUCUGUAUCUUGUCAGCCUAAGAGUGGGACAUGCCCUUGUGAGCAUUUACAAGAGUCUCAAUGGGUAAUUGUCAUAUUACCCCUAAUCCUGAGAACUGUAUUACUAGGGUAUUUUUUAAAUAGGA
This is a long non-coding RNA of Acinonyx jubatus (cheetah), 1696 nucleotides long. RefSeq lists it as uncharacterized. The transcript is spliced from 3 exons. NCBI's taxonomy places the organism in Eukaryota, Metazoa, Chordata, Mammalia, Carnivora, Felidae. The record is from RefSeq and is a predicted model, not a curated record.